Molecule: long non-coding RNA, 1308 nt
Organism: Triplophysa dalaica
Lineage: Eukaryota; Metazoa; Chordata; Actinopteri; Cypriniformes; Nemacheilidae
Exons: 3
Source: RefSeq, a predicted model, not a curated record
CGUUCUUCGUACGUCGCUAACUCGGUUAGCUGGAUUUGAUUGUUGACGAUUUGGCAUGAUCUUGGAUUGUUUGGUUCUUCGAAGCUCAUCCUGGACUUGCUGUCAUAGCAACAGGUCCGUAAGCUUGAACCUGCUCGGGAGCAGGCUUACUUCAUGUAAACAGGAUUAGAUCACGGCUUUAUAAGCGGAGGUGAUAUGGGAAGUCUUUCGCAGACAUGUCUUGUCCGUUUUUACGUCAGGAAUGCGUUGCUGAAGGUACCAGAAUAAUUCAAAGAGCUUUUCGAAUUAAUCGCUUUUUGCGAGAUCGACAGGAUCCUUUAGCGCAGCGCGAUAAUCUACUGAUUGAGAGAUAUCGUUUUUCUCUGGAGGGUGUAAUAUACAUUAUCAACUUGUUGGAGCCACACGUUAAAUGUUCGACUCGUCGCAGUCGGGCUUUAACAACUGCACAGUUUGAAUAGCUUUGCGAUUCUUUGCGAGUGGCACUUUCCUUUACACUAUUGGAGAUGCAGAAUACCUGGGUAAAAAUGCUGUAUGUCGUGCCACUCGCAAAGUUUAUCUGUCACUCAAACAGUUUUUAGGGGGCUUUGUGGUAUUUCCAUGCCACUUAAGACCACAGGCUGUGAAGCAGAUUUUUUUUUGCCAUUGCAGGUACAUUAUAAUUGUUAAUGAAGAUCAUGGAAUCAUGAUCAUGCCAAAAAGUAGCCUAGGACUUACAGUAUUUGUUCCUCAGGCUUCCCUAAUGUUAUUUGUGCCAUAGACUGCACACAGGUCCCCAUCAAGGCCCCACCUGGCCCAAAUGAAGGGGAUUUUUUGAACAGAAAGGGAUUUCACAGUGUAAAUGUGCAAAUGGUGUGCGACUCCAUGUUCCACAUCACAAAUGUGGAAGCCACAUGGCCUGGUUCUGUGGGUGACUCCAAGAUUUUCAGAGAGUCACAUUUAUGCACAUUAUUUGAACGUGGUGCUGACGAUGGGAUCCUGUUUGGCGACAGGGGCUAUGCCUUCAGGCAGGCAGUACUUCAUGACACCAUUCCCUGGACCACAAACCCGUUACAAUGCAGCUCUAGCCAGGACAAGGCCACGCAUUGAAAUGACCUUUGGCCAACUAAAGGAAGAUUUCAGUGUCUUAAGGGUCUGAGGGUUGCACCUGGAGAGGACCCCUGUGGUGGAGGUGCAGCCUGAUGAUGACCUCCAGCCAGUGCACUUGGACCAAUAGUGGCAGAGCUGCACAGGACAGUAUUGUGGAACACGAUUUUAUGAAUUCUUUUUUUUACACAUAAACUUUCAUUAAAUGAAUAAUAGAAGACAACA